This 554-nucleotide ribosomal RNA is filed under the name Cryptosporidium hominis. RNAcentral describes it as "partial 18S ribosomal RNA". It matches the Rfam family "Eukaryotic small subunit ribosomal RNA", at positions 338 to 917 of the family's 1831-position model. Lineage: Eukaryota; Apicomplexa; Conoidasida; Eucoccidiorida; Cryptosporidiidae. The record is from RNAcentral.
GGCCUACCGUGGCAAUGACGGGUAACGGGGAAUUAGGGUUCGAUUCCGGAGAGGGAGCCUGAGAAACGGCUACCACAUCUAAGGAAGGCAGCAGGCGCGCAAAUUACCCAAUCCUAAUACAGGGAGGUAGUGACAAGAAAUAACAAUACAGGACUUUUUGGUUUUGUAAUUGGAAUGAGUUAAGUAUAAACCCCUUUACAAGUAUCAAUUGGAGGGCAAGUCUGGUGCCAGCAGCCGCGGUAAUUCCAGCUCCAAUAGCGUAUAUUAAAGUUGUUGCAGUUAAAAAGCUCGUAGUUGGAUUUCUGUUAAUAAUUUAUAUAAAAUAUUUUGAUGAAUAUUUAUAUAAUAUUAACAUAAUUCAUAUUACUAUUUUUUUUUUUAGUAUAUGAAAUUUUACUUUGAGAAAAUUAGAGUGCUUAAAGCAGGCAUAUGCCUUGAAUACUCCAGCAUGGAAUAAUAUUAAAGAUUUUUAUCUUUUUUAUUGGUUCUAAGAUAAGAAUAAUGAUUAAUAGGGACAGUUGGGGGCAUUUGUAUUUCACAGUCACAGGUCAAAU